Molecule: ribosomal RNA, 434 nt
Filed under: Escherichia coli
Lineage: Bacteria; Pseudomonadati; Pseudomonadota; Gammaproteobacteria; Enterobacterales; Enterobacteriaceae
Also listed under: 1 other name
Description: partial 23S ribosomal RNA
Rfam family: Bacterial large subunit ribosomal RNA
Source: RNAcentral
UGCGAGCGUGACGGCGCGAGCAGGUGCGAAAGCAGGUCAUAGUGAUCCGGUGGUUCUGAAUGGAAGGGCCAUCGCUCAACGGAUAAAAGGUACUCCGGGGAUAACAGGCUGAUACCGCCCAAGAGUUCAUAUCGACGGCGGUGUUUGGCACCUCGAUGUCGGCUCAUCACAUCCUGGGGCUGAAGUAGGUCCCAAGGGUAUGGCUGUUCGCCAUUUAAAGUGGUACGCGAGCUGGGUUUAGAACGUCGUGAGACAGUUCGGUCCCUAUCUGCCGUGGGCGCUGGAGAACUGAGGGGGGCUGCUCCUAGUACGAGAGGACCGGAGUGGACGCAUCACUGGUGUUCGGGUUGUCAUGCCAAUGGCACUGCCCGGUAGCUAAAUGCGGAAGAGAUAAGUGCUGAAAGCAUCUAAGCACGAAACUUGCCCCGAGAUGA